AGUAGUUUGAUCAUGGCUCAGAACGAACGCUGGCGGCAUGCCUAACACAUGCAAGUCGAACGAUGCCUUCGGGCAUAGUGGCGCACGGGUGCGUAACGCGUGGGAAUCUGCCCUUGGGUUCGGAAUAACUCAGAGAAAUUUGAGCUAAUACCGGAUGAUGACGUAAGUCCAAAGAUUUAUCGCCCAAGGAUGAGCCCGCGUAAGAUUAGCUAGUUGGUGGGGUAAAGGCCUACCAAGGCGACGAUCUUUAGCUGGUCUGAGAGGAUGAUCAGCCACACUGGGACUGAGACACGGCCCAGACUCCUACGGGAGGCAGCAGUGGGGAAUAUUGGACAAUGGGCGAAAGCCUGAUCCAGCAAUGCCGCGUGAGUGAUGAAGGCCUUAGGGUUGUAAAGCUCUUUUACCAGGGAUGAUAAUGACAGUACCUGGAGAAUAAGCUCCGGCUAACUCCGUG
This 454-nucleotide ribosomal RNA is filed under the name uncultured bacterium. RNAcentral's name for it is "bacterial SSU rRNA". It matches the Rfam family "Bacterial small subunit ribosomal RNA", at positions 1 to 507 of the family's 1533-position model. The record is from RNAcentral.